AAAUUGGGUAGAGGCGCUUUGAGAAUAGUAAUUAGUUUUAGUAGGCAUACAGUGAGAACUAAUGAAAGGGUAAAAAGCCGAAAGAGGAGAGAAGGUAUUCAAUUCUCUUGGAUAUGUAUAGAAUAUAUACAUAACUGUCAUGAAAAUGGAGAGCUACUAAAUUU
Molecule: non-coding RNA, 164 nt
Filed under: Clostridium cavendishii
Lineage: Bacteria; Bacillati; Bacillota; Clostridia; Eubacteriales; Clostridiaceae
Also listed under: 1 other name
Description: Lysine sequence
Rfam family: Lysine riboswitch aptamer
About the family: Riboswitches are metabolite binding domains within certain messenger RNAs that serve as precision sensors for their corresponding targets. Allosteric rearrangement of mRNA structure is mediated by ligand binding, and this results in modulation of gene expression.
Source: RNAcentral